This is a long non-coding RNA of Calypte anna (Anna's hummingbird), 325 nucleotides long. RefSeq lists it as uncharacterized. NCBI's taxonomy places the organism in Eukaryota, Metazoa, Chordata, Aves, Apodiformes, Trochilidae. The record is from RefSeq and is a predicted model, not a curated record. The transcript is spliced from 3 exons.
AUUACUUCGCAUGCAAUAAGCAGCGGCUCAGAGCGCAGGCCCUAAGCUACAAGGCAAGCGGCCGUGACACUGAGAGCACAUCCCCCGGUGCCUGCAGCCUCGGCUUCUCCAUGGUAAAACCCCUGGAGAAAGGCAGUCCGGAGGGAAAAGGAUGUCCAAGUCCUGCUGUCCAGUGUCAUCACAUUCACAUCCUGCAGUGACCUGUGCACAACACACACUCUACGAUUCCAAAGGCCCGGAGAUGGGGAUGCCAGGAUUCACCAUGAGAGUAUGUUUUGCCAUUUGAAACACAAACUAUGAAAGAAGAGAAAAGGAAGAAGUAGUA